RNAcentral lists this ribosomal RNA (497 nucleotides) under uncultured marine bacterium. RNAcentral's name for it is "bacterial SSU rRNA". It matches the Rfam family "Bacterial small subunit ribosomal RNA", at positions 1 to 498 of the family's 1533-position model. The record is from RNAcentral.
UAGAGUUUGAUCAUGGCUCAGAUUGAACGCUGGCGGUAUGCUUAACACAUGCAAGUCGAACGGAAACGAUACUAGCUUGCUAGUAGGCGUCGAGUGGCGGACGGGUGAGUAACGCGUAGGAAUCUACCAGAUAGUGGGGGAUAGCCCGGAGAAAUUCGGAUUAAUACCGCAUAAUCUCUACGGAGUAAAGGAGGCCUCUAUUUAUAUGCCUUCGCUAUCUGAUGAGCCUGCGUAAGAUUAGCUAGUUGGUGAGGUAAAAGCUCACCAAGGCGACGAUCUUUAGCUGGUCUGAGAGGAUGAUCAGCCACACUGGGACUGAGACACGGCCCAGACUCCUACGGGAGGCAGCAGUGGGGAAUAUUGGACAAUGGGGGCAACCCUGAUCCAGCAAUACCGCGUGUGUGAAGAAGGCCUGAGGGUUGUAAAGCACUUUCAAUUGUGAAGAAAAGUUAAUAGUUAAUAACUAUUAGCCUAGACGUAACUUAGAAGAGCCCGCA